This 571-nucleotide ribosomal RNA is filed under the name Staphylococcus aureus. RNAcentral's name for it is "bacterial SSU rRNA". It matches the Rfam family "Bacterial small subunit ribosomal RNA", at positions 69 to 625 of the family's 1533-position model. The record is from RNAcentral. Lineage: Bacteria; Bacillati; Bacillota; Bacilli; Caryophanales; Staphylococcaceae.
GGACCAGAAGCUUGCUUCUCUGAUGUUAGCGGCGGACGGGUGAGUAACACGUGGAUAACCUACCUAUAAGACUGGGAUAACUUCGGGAAACCGGAGCUAAUACCGGAUAAUAUUUUGAACCGCAUGGUUCAAAAGUGAAAGACGGUCUUGCUGUCACUUAUAGAUGGAUCCGCGCUGCAUUAGCUAGUUGGUAAGGUAACGGCUUACCAAGGCAACGAUGCAUAGCCGACCUGAGAGGGUGAUCGGCCACACUGGAACUGAGACACGGUCCAGACUCCUACGGGAGGCAGCAGUAGGGAAUCUUCCGCAAUGGGCGAAAGCCUGACGGAGCAACGCCGCGUGAGUGAUGAAGGUCUUCGGAUCGUAAAACUCUGUUAUUAGGGAAGAACAUAUGUGUAAGUAACUGUGCACAUCUUGACGGUACCUAAUCAGAAAGCCACGGCUAACUACGUGCCAGCAGCCGCGGUAAUACGUAGGUGGCAAGCGUUAUCCGGAAUUAUUGGGCGUAAAGCGCGCGUAGGCGGUUUUUUAAGUCUGAUGUGAAAGCCCACGGCUCAACCGUGGAGGGUCA